CCUACGGGUGGCAGCAGUGGGGAAUAUUGCACAAUGGGGGAAACCCUGAUGCAGCGACGCCGCGUGAGUGAAGAAGUCAUUCGUUAUGUACAGCUCUAUCAGCAGGGAAGAAAAUGACGGUACCUGAGUAAGAAGCACCGGCUAACUACGUGCCAGCAGCCGCGGUACGACGUAGGUGGCAAGCGUUAGCCGGAUUUACUGGGUGUAAAGGGAUCGUGGACGGCAGUGCAAGUCUGGAGGUAAAGGCGGGGGCUCAACCCCCGGACUGCUCUGGAAACUGUACGGCUGGAGUGCAGGAGAGGUAAGUAGAAUGCCAAGUGUAGCGGUGAAAUGCGUAGAGAUUAGGAGGAACACCAGUGGCGAAGGCGGCUGACUGGACUGUAACUGACGUUGAGGCUCGAAAGCGUGGGGAGCAAACAGGAUUAGAUACCCGUGUAGUC
Molecule: ribosomal RNA, 440 nt
Filed under: uncultured bacterium
Lineage: Bacteria
Description: partial 16S ribosomal RNA
Rfam family: Bacterial small subunit ribosomal RNA
Source: RNAcentral